Molecule: long non-coding RNA, 702 nt
Organism: Setaria italica (foxtail millet)
Lineage: Eukaryota; Viridiplantae; Streptophyta; Magnoliopsida; Poales; Poaceae
Exons: 2
Source: RefSeq, a predicted model, not a curated record
UAUUGGCUAGUGCUCCCCCCGAGCCCCCGCCCGUGGCCGCCCCGUCCGGGGAGGGCGAUUUCAUGGAGGAGGUGGAGGCGGAGGGGACGGGAGAGCAGGGGAGCGGCGGCGGCGCCGGCCGCAGCGUAGAUGCCGUCGCCGCCGCUGUGCGCGGCCGCGGACGAGGUCAUUUUAGAACGGAGGAAGCAUGGCCUGGGAACGUUCAGUUGGAACAAUGACCCACUAUAUACAUCGUGACAAGGAGAUUCAACAUCUCAGUUGCAAUACAUUCUGGGGUUGUCUGCUUUGUUGGAACUUUGCUAAGAAGUGUGUUAGCAACCGUACUUGUUCUUUGUUGCACAUUUUUAGCGCACGACGCUUAUUGUCCCACGUCUUGCCAAGAUUUCCCACACCAUUAUUACAGAGGUUUCCAAAACAUGCAAAAUGAUCAUUCUACAAUUUAUCAGCCAACUUGCUACACCAUUUUCCAUCAAACCACAUGCAAAAUAUGGGAGGGGGAGAUACAACAGAUCCCAGCAACAGUGACUACCUAUUUAGCAUCACAGAGUGAGAAGAGAAAGCAGCAGAGGUUGUCAGGUAAAUACAACACAUGUUUGCACGCUGGCGAUCAUUGAUCAGGACCUUUGAAUGUAAAAGAACGCAGCUCUUUCUGUAAUACAUGAGCAGACAGUCUAUGCAUAUUGUCACAUUGGCACACCUUUA